UAUAUGUUUAUGGGUUGGUAAGUGGGAUUAAAAGUUUUAUUUUUGUUUAAAAAUUAAAUUAAAUUUUAUAUUUAUAUGUAAAUUUUUGUUUAAAUUUAAAUAUUUUUUAAAUAAAAAUAUUAAGAUUUUAUUCGCAGUAAAUAAUUUUAAAAAUUAAAGAAAUUUAGAUUUAGGAAAAAUUUAUAGUAUUGACUAAAUUUGUGCCAGCAGUUGCGGUUACACAGAUAAUAUAACUUAAAUAUUUCGGAUACAGUAAAAUUUUAAUUAUAGACUUGAUUUUAAGGCUUAUUGGGUGAAAUUUUUAAGUUUUAAAGUUAGUCGUUUAUUGAUUGUGAUUCUGAUAAAUUUAUUAUUUAAACUAGGAUUAGAUACCCUAUUAUUUUGAACGUAAAUUUAUUUCUGGACCAGUAUUAGUUAUGUUCUUGAAAAUUAAAGAUUUUGGCGGUAUUUUAGUCUGUUCAGAGGAACCUGUCCUGUAAUUGAUGAUCCACGAUUCAAAUUACUUUUUCUCAGUUUUCAUAUCGUCGUAGUUUGAAAAUUUUAUUAGAAUGAGAAUUUUCAUAAUUUCUUUAAGAAAGAAAAUCAGAUCAAGGUGUAGCUAAUGAGGAAGGAGUGAUGGGUUACAUUAAGUUUACUUAAGGAGUUUAUUCUUGCGAAGAUAAAUGAAUUUGGAUUUGAUAGUAAUUUUAAUUAGAUUAUUAGAAUGAUUUUAGCUCUAAAAUAUGCACAUAUCGCCCGUCGCUUUCAUUAUAAAGUGAAAUAAGUCGUAACAAAGUAGGCUUACUGGAAAGUGUGCCUGGAACGA
This 805-nucleotide non-coding RNA is filed under the name Massicus raddei. The record is from RNAcentral. Lineage: Eukaryota; Metazoa; Arthropoda; Insecta; Coleoptera; Cerambycidae.